RNAcentral lists this transfer RNA (90 nucleotides) under Loxodonta africana (African savanna elephant). It matches the Rfam family "tRNA". From Rfam's summary of the family: Transfer RNA (tRNA) molecules are approximately 80 nucleotides in length. The record is from Rfam by way of RNAcentral. Lineage: Eukaryota; Metazoa; Chordata; Mammalia; Proboscidea; Elephantidae.
CCUUCGAUAGCUCAGCUGGUAGAGCAAAGGACUAUAGACGGGAUAAGCGUAGAUAUCCUUAAGUUGCGAGUUCAUUUCCGGCUCCAAGGA